RNAcentral lists this ribosomal RNA (252 nucleotides) under uncultured bacterium. RNAcentral's name for it is "partial 16S ribosomal RNA". It matches the Rfam family "Bacterial small subunit ribosomal RNA", at positions 524 to 776 of the family's 1533-position model. The record is from RNAcentral.
UACGUAGGGGGCAAGCGUUGUCCGGAAUUAUUGGGCGUAAAGGGCACGCAGGCGGUGGUUUAAGUUUGGUGUUUAAUCCCAGGGCUCAACCCUGGUACGCACUGAAAACUGGAUCACUUGAGUACAGAAGAGGAGAGUGGAAUUCCACGUGUAGCGGUGAAAUGCGUAGAGAUGUGGAGGAACACCAGUGGCGAAGGCGACUCUCUGGUCUGUAACUGACGCUGAGGUGCGAAAGCGUGGGUAGCAAACAGG